AUAAAAUAAGACUAAUUGUUGCUAAAAGAGUGAAAUUGAACUGUAUGUGGCGACAGUAUUUUUCCCUAAUACUACCACUCCAGAAGUGUAGUAUUAAGGAAAAUGGAAUUGUCCUCUGAGAACUAAACUAUAAACUACAUCAUUGUUCAGAUGAGAGAUAUGCAAAAUCGCCCUAAGAAACAUAGGGACUCACGGGUGAGCAAGAUGAGACUCAUUUGAUUGAGAAUAUUCAUAUAUCUAAAGACUUAAUGAAUUAAUUAGCUUGUGGAUGGUGGAGCACAAAUCCAGCCGAGUCACUGGGGCAAAUACUGGCUGUGGCCAUUAGGAACUGUCCAUUAGAGGCUGUGUCUUUUCAGACUCCUCCCAAUAUUCACUUGUAGAGGAGGCACCCAGCUAUCACAGCCUGAUGCCCCUAAACAUUUGAAUCAUGCAAUUAACUCCUCUCCGCUCUGAUUCCAUCUCUACCAGUAACUUUCUGAUGACAAUUUGGCUUUCUGUGUGAUCUACCCGUGGGAAGAAUACAAGUGUUUGGCUACCUUGGUUGUUAUUGAUUCUCAGUGAAAAUUAACAGUUGCUAUGCUGUGUUAGAGACUUGAACCUCCUAGGGCUUAGUCAGCAUGAAUUAGCACCCACUAAUUGUCAGGGUUUGAUAAGAUGAGGCAUCUGGAUGUGUCAGGCUGUUGGCAGGAAGAUAACUGAUUCAAGUGGUGGCUCUUUGUGAGACCUUGACAGCCACACAAGGCUUUCUUGUGACCCGUAUGUAGAUUUCCCACCUUCUGGGCUUCAAUUCCAUUCCAAGAUCUGCCCAUCUAAGAAGUCAGAAAAUCCUAGGAGCUCUCAUUUAUUGCCAUUCCUCAUACUUUGUUUUUAGGGUUUGCGUCCUCAUCUGCCUUUCCAGACCAGCAGUUCCCAAAAGCCAGUGUGAGAACCAUCUGCAUCAGAGUGACCAGUCUGUGAAGAUCAAGCAUAGGAAUGCCAGGACUCCACCCUACAUGUCCUUUAUCUGGGGUGGUGCCCAGGCUUCCCGAUUAUUCUACCAACUCUACCAAAUCCUUGUUCUUCGUUGCACAAUUAGCUGUGAAACAGACAGAGGUUACCUACAAUAAGUGCAUGUCAUUUUGGACUAGCCAUAUUUCAAGGGCUCAGUAUGGCUAAUGGCCACUAUAUUGGACAUCGACGGUCAAACCCAUUUUACAUUCCCCUGACAACUAUGAUUGGUGUGAGGCCUAUGAUGGCCCAACUAGGCUGACAGCAAAGAUCUUUCCUGUUGGCAAAGAUCAUCUUUCUCUCUCCUGCUGGCAAGAACAAGAAAGAAUAAAGGUCUGAUCAACCCAUGAGCUUUCUUGGGAUUUAUGAGGAGAACCAGACUUUGGAUGAAACUGACAUUGAAAUGAGCAGGAUGGAGAGAAAAAUCCUAGGGGUUUGGUGACAAUACUGGGCUGCUGAUUAAACUUGGAGUUUGCCCUGACUCUGAACUUUCUAUUUAGUGAGAUAAUAAUUGUCUCAAUUGUUUAAGCUAGCUUGUGUUGCUUCCAGCUAAAAGAGUGCCAGCUAUAUACAAUGUGCAAGCUGACAUGUUGUCAUGCUCUGACACUGAUGAACACACCCCCACAAGGCUGUGAAGUAGUAGGGGAAGAACUAACCUGCAUGGAGUUGGAAGGGGGGGAAAAACAAAAUCAAACCAUAUGGAAAGCAGUUGAAUUCACUGCAUUAAAUAUACUUUUUAAAAUGUACAACAUAAUAGCCAUAUGUUUAAGUCAGAAUCAUCUGCAAAGCACGCAUGUUCACUUUCUGUUCCAGAGUCAGGCGUCUGAAUUCUGUGAGCAAAGCCUAGAGAAAAAAAACUAAGCCUAUGCCAGAUUUACAGGAAUAGUUAUCUUUAUAAAGACUAUAUGAACUGUAAUACAAAGUUACAAAGCUGAAGGCAAAGCUUUUCAAUAAAGCAAGUGGCUCUCAAAGAGAUACCUUCAAGAGUGUGGUUCUAUGUUUCCCACCUAGUGCUAAGUAAAACAUACAUUUCAAUUAGAAUUAGAAUGUACUUCAGGAAGUAAAUUAUUAAAUGACCUAGCACAUUUUGAUGUUUUUAAAAGCCCAAACUCCCAGCUGUGGAGAACAAUGAGUCUUUAAUGAUAAUUUAUUCCCCUCUUGUUCCCAUGAUUGCUAGAUAGCUGGGGGCCCUAGAUACUUAUUGGGCUCCAGGGACCCAAUGUGGGCAUUGUCAGAGGAGGAUACCAAUUAGCAGGUUUGGUUUCACAAAGAAGCAAAGAUUGCCCUGAGGUGAAAAACUCUGUCUCAGAGAAAACACCCUUGAACUUGAAUUGUCUUUUUUGCUCAUCAUUAGAAGUCAGCAAAGGAUUUAGCCUCUCCCUCACCAAUUCAUUAUCCACACUCUUCAGAAAAAAAAAAAUAAUAAUAAAAUAAAAUAUUUUCUCUUAUUAUGAAGGUGACAAUAAAGACAGUAAGCUUACCACAUGCAGAAAAGAGAGUGACCACUUUCUACUAGUUUUAAUGGCACUAUCACUGCUUCCAAAAAUUGCUUUAGGUCACUUACGGCCCCUGGAGAUAAACAUCUGAGGAUUCUGCAUAAGGUCCUUAAUGGGUGUUUUCAGGACAGCAUAAUUACCUGAGGCUUGUAAGAGUGAAAAGCAUCAGCCUCAAGGUUACUGAAUAAUGUAUGGUUGCCUGUUUGUCUAUUAGAGAGAGAUAAAGAAGAACAAAAAUCCAGUCACCAUAUGAAUCACAAUUUUAUUAUCUUUUUCAUUCAUUUAGUAUUUCAUUCAACACAUUUGAAAGCAUUUAUUAUGCACCAGGCACUGUACUAAACACUUUAGAUUCUAGUAUGAUUAAGACAGCAGAGUUCUACCCAUUGAGAUGUUCACAAUCUAGGUGGGGAAGGACAUGGAGAAUGAAGAAUAAGCAGACCAUUAAUUCCCAGAAAGGAGUAGGGUUACCUCUGGGCCCCUGCGGAGGUCAAUGAAGCUUUGUCUAUGGCCUUUAAGAGCUUUUCAUUU
RNAcentral lists this long non-coding RNA (3011 nucleotides) under Homo sapiens (human). RNAcentral's name for it is "HSALNT0090472". The record is from RNAcentral. Lineage: Eukaryota; Metazoa; Chordata; Mammalia; Primates; Hominidae.